Long non-coding RNA from Panicum virgatum (switchgrass), 377 nucleotides. RefSeq lists it as uncharacterized. NCBI's taxonomy places the organism in Eukaryota, Viridiplantae, Streptophyta, Magnoliopsida, Poales, Poaceae. The transcript has 3 exons. The record is from RefSeq and is a predicted model, not a curated record.
GAUUUAAAGAGGAUCAGAAGACUGAAGUUCUGGCUCCUGGGCUGUGUACUUAUUGAGAGAUCAGAGCUCGUGUAGUGGCAUGUCGCUCUACCGUUCACCUCUGCACCAGGCUUGCAGGAAUCCAAAGGGCUCCUUUGAUCAGCUCUGGUUUGAUGCUGGUGGUUUCUGCCUGUCGGAUCACUCCAAGGCAAACCUGAUGUCCACUGUUAUGCCCGUCGGAUCACAGUUUGUAUGCUCUGGAAUUUGUAUCCGCUAUAGUGCUUGAGCUAUUUAGCUUCUAUCGGUUUGGCCUGUUAGAGAAGACCUGAAACUCUUGGUCAUUUUAAACUACUCUCUACUAUCGAUGAAUAUACUAUGAAUAUUGUUAUUUGUUGGCA